RNAcentral lists this ribosomal RNA (490 nucleotides) under uncultured bacterium. Its description in RNAcentral is "partial 16S ribosomal RNA". It matches the Rfam family "Bacterial small subunit ribosomal RNA", at positions 30 to 507 of the family's 1533-position model. The record is from RNAcentral.
AUUGAACGCUGGCGGCAUGCUUUACACAUGCAAGUCGGACGGCAGCACAGAGAAGCUUGCUUCUUGGGUGGCGAGUGGCGAACGGGUGAGUAACAUAUCGGAACGUACCGAGCAGUGGGGGAUAACUAAUCGAAAGAUUAGCUAAUACCGCAUAUCUUCUGAGGAAGAAAGCAGGGGACCAUUUGGCCUUGCGCUGUUUGAGCGGCCGAUAUCUGAUUAGCUAGUUGGUGGGGUAAAGGCCUACCAAGGCGACGAUCAGUAGCGGGUCUGAGAGGAUGAUCCGCCACACUGGGACUGAGACACGGCCCAGACUCCUACGGGAGGCAGCAGUGGGGAAUUUUGGACAAUGGGCGCAAGCCUGAUCCAGCCAUGCCGCGUGUCUGAAGAAGGCCUUCGGGUUGUAAAGGACUUUUGUCAGGGAAGAGAAGGGCGGGGUUAAUACCCCUGUCUGAUGACGGUACCUGAAGAAUAAGCACCGGCUAACUACGUG